RNAcentral lists this non-coding RNA (30 nucleotides) under Rattus norvegicus (Norway rat). Lineage: Eukaryota; Metazoa; Chordata; Mammalia; Rodentia; Muridae. The record is from RNAcentral.
GAGGACAUGUAAAUCAAGUCAGAAGGGUCA